This 291-nucleotide unclassified non-coding RNA is filed under the name Paraconiothyrium archidendri. Its description in RNAcentral is "partial internal transcribed spacer region". The stretch from base 1 to 46 matches the Rfam family "Eukaryotic small subunit ribosomal RNA", at positions 1786 to 1831 of the family's 1831-position model. The record is from RNAcentral. Lineage: Eukaryota; Fungi; Ascomycota; Dothideomycetes; Pleosporales; Didymosphaeriaceae.
AAGUCGUAACAAGGUUUCCGUAGGUGAACCUGCGGAAGGAUCAUUAUCUAUAACCGGGUGUGGCUGCGGCCUCCGGGGGCGUGGGCGUCGAAACGAUGCCCUCUCUUCCGGGUGGUAGAGGUAAAACUCUCACGCGCCACAUGUCUGAAUCCUUUUUUUACGAGCACCUUUCGUUCUCCUUCGGUGGGGUGACCUGCCGUUGGAACCCAUCAAAACUCUUUUUGCAUCUAGCAUUACCUGUUCUGAUACAAACAAUCGUUACAACUUUCAACAAUGGAUCUCUUGGCUCUG